Passer domesticus (house sparrow) is the source of this 1394-nucleotide long non-coding RNA. RefSeq lists it as uncharacterized. Lineage: Eukaryota; Metazoa; Chordata; Aves; Passeriformes; Passeridae. The transcript is spliced from 2 exons. The record is from RefSeq and is a predicted model, not a curated record.
CCCUGCCACAAAACAGAGAGGGAAAUAAACAAAAAGAACAGUCUGUGAACCAGCAUCCAAAAACACUGAGGGAGAAGCAAUAUGGAUCUGCCUGAGUCACUGGUAGCAGAGAUAAACAAACCCCAGCUCUCAGGUAGUGUGGCAGCUGUCCUUCAGUUCCACAGAGAAUAUUGAGCACACAAGAUAGCUGAACAAACAGCUCAUUUGCCUCAUUGGUCAUGGUCAGGCCUCUUUGGUCAGAUUUACUUUUCAACAAUGCACGAAUUUAUCAGGAUUUAUGGAACUUGCCUCCAGCAGAAAUUCUACAACCUAUGAUAUAAAUGUAAUAAAAUGAGUGCCUGGUAUUGAUCUUCUCUAUGAAAUGAGCAUUUGGCUCAGCAAUGAAUGAAACAAUAUUUUGUGUGUAAAGAGAUAUAUACUGAGCCUGGUGUCUGAAAUAUUGAGUGGUUUCUUAGAUUUAUAAACUAUCUCAAAGAAGCAAAGGAGUUGUGUCAAGCUCCUCUACCACCAGAGACAGUCAAAGAUUCAAGCUUCCUUUGGUUAUCCCCCUCUGGUGUAUAAGAGAGUGGCUUAUUUUCCAUGUUCUCUUAUGUGCCGGAGUUUAUGGUGUUACAGUGAAAUUGCUCAUUUUAGGGUAUUUCUGUUAAAUUCUCUUUAAACAGGAAAAAAAAAGCAGGUUCAUAAUAAAAUAGAAGCAGAGCAGUACUGAGUCCAGUUAACCCAGUUCCCUCAACAGCCAGAGGAAAGAGGUGCCCAGGGAACUCUCCUGGCUUCUGUUUUCCCCUCACAGAAUCCCAGAAUGGUUUGGGUAGAAGGGAACUUAAACCCAUUUUAAACCCUUAAACCAGGUUGCUCCAAAGCCUGUCCAGCCUGGCCUUGGAUACUUCCAGGGAUGGAGCAGCAAAAAAGCAAUUUAUUCACUAAUUGUGAAUUCCAGCUAAAUGUGCUUGAGAUAUGUGCCAUUCACAAGAUAAAAAGAGAUAAAUUUCUCAGCCUCUUAGUUUGUCAGGAAACAUUAAUUAAAGUGUAAUGACAUCAAGGAUAACAAACAGAAUCAGAUCCCAGGGUUAUGCAGCACUAGCCUAACUUACAACAGGUAUAAAUCUCAUCUAGUGAAAAUAAUAUCUUUACAUGCAUCAAUAAUUUUAGUUAUGCCCAGGGAGACUGAAUCAGAAUUUCCCCUGCAGAAUAUAUCUCUCAUCUAUCCAUGCUGGUUUCCAGAUGCUGCUCACUUUUAUUUAUGUAGACAAGGAAAAACUUUAUUAUUAUUAAAUAACUGUAUGACACCACCAAGGAACUCCUCUUGUUCCUUCAGGGUCUGCUCUGUGCUGAUCAUUUGUGUCACACCUGUCUGCCCUCUAAGACAACUGACAAUUAAAAUAUGCUUUGGAAAA